RNAcentral lists this ribosomal RNA (958 nucleotides) under Penicillium sp. 2.8. RNAcentral's name for it is "SSU rRNA". It matches the Rfam family "Eukaryotic small subunit ribosomal RNA", at positions 66 to 1033 of the family's 1831-position model. Lineage: Eukaryota; Fungi; Ascomycota; Eurotiomycetes; Eurotiales; Aspergillaceae. The record is from RNAcentral.
UAAGCACUUGUACUGUGAAACUGCGAAUGGCUCAUUAAAUCAGUUAUCGUUUAUUUGAUAGUACCUUACUACAUGGAUACCUGUGGUAAUUCUAGAGCUAAUACAUGCUAAAAACCCCGACUUCAGGAAGGGGUGUAUUUAUUAGAUAAAAAACCAACGCCCUUCGGGGCUCCUUGGUGAAUCAUAAUAACUUAACGAAUCGCAUGGCCUUGCGCCGGCGAUGGUUCAUUCAAAUUUCUGCCCUAUCAACUUUCGAUGGUAGGAUAGUGGCCUACCAUGGUGGCAACGGGUAACGGGGAAUUAGGGUUCGAUUCCGGAGAGGGAGCCUGAGAAACGGCUACCACAUCCAAGGAAGGCAGCAGGCGCGCAAAUUACCCAAUCCCGAUACGGGGAGGUAGUGACAAUAAAUACUGAUACGGGGCUCUUUUGGGUCUCGUAAUUGGAAUGAGAACAAUUUAAAUCCCUUAACGAGGAACAAUUGGAGGGCAAGUCUGGUGCCAGCAGCCGCGGUAAUUCCAGCUCCAAUAGCGUAUAUUAAAGUUGUUGCAGUUAAAAAGCUCGUAGUUGAACUUUGGGUCUGGCUGGGCGGUCCGCCUCACCGCGAGUACUGGUCCGGCUGGACCUUUCCUUCUGGGGAACCUCAUGGCCUUCACUGGCUGUGGGGGGAACCAGGACUUUUACUGUGAAAAAAUUAGAGUGUUCAAAGCAGGCCUUUGCUCGAAUACAUUAGCAUGGAAUAAUAGAAUAGGACGUGUGGUUCUAUUUUGUUGGUUUCUAGGACCGCCGUAAUGAUUAAUAGGGAUAGUCGGGGGCGUCAGUAUUCAGCUGUCAGAGGUGAAAUUCUUGGAUUUGCUGAAGACUAACUACUGCGAAAGCAUUCGCCAAGGAUGUUUUCAUUAAUCAGGGAACGAAAGUUAGGGGAUCGAAGACGAUCAGAUACCGUCGUAGUCUUAACCAU